CUUCAAGAACCAUCUGGGGACAUAUUGUGACUUUUGGGAACAAUGCCCCUUUAAGACUUUGUCCCCAGACUGUUAAUAUAUUGUGUUCCUGGCUUUCUCCCACUUGGUUCAGUAAAUGGGGCUUACUGAACCAAGUACCACACAGGCGGACCACCCAGAAGUGGAAGUGUGCAGGCAAUUUACCUCUCAGGCUGGGAGCCUGCUGUAGGUAAAUUGCCGAACGCUGGGGGGCCGCCGUUCGCGCAAACAAAAACGUGUCGGUGGCCAUCUUUG
Molecule: non-coding RNA, 273 nt
Organism: Pelobates cultripes (western spadefoot toad)
Lineage: Eukaryota; Metazoa; Chordata; Amphibia; Anura; Pelobatidae
Source: the annotation of a GenBank genome assembly